RNAcentral lists this ribosomal RNA (254 nucleotides) under uncultured bacterium. RNAcentral describes it as "partial 16S ribosomal RNA". It matches the Rfam family "Bacterial small subunit ribosomal RNA", at positions 524 to 776 of the family's 1533-position model. The record is from RNAcentral.
UACGUAGGGUGCGAGCGUUGCCCGGAUUUAUUGGGCGUAAAGGGCGCGUAGGCGGCCAGCACAAGUCAGUUGUGAAAUCUCCGGGCUUAACUCGGAAAGGUCAACUGAUACUGUGCGGCUAGAGUGCAGAAGGGGCAACUGGAAUUCUCGGUGUAGCGGUGAAAUGCGUAGAUAUCGAGAGGAACACCUGCGGCGAAGGCGGGUUGCUGGGCUGACACUGACGCUGAUGCGCGAAAGCCAGGGGAGCGAACGGG